UACGUAGAGGGCUAGCGUUGUCCGGAAUCAUUGGGCGUAAAGCGCGUGUAGGCGGCUCGAUAAGUCUGUUGUGAAAGCCCAGGGCUCAACCCUGGAAUGCCGAUGGAUACUGUCGAGCUAGAGUCCGGAAGAGGCGAGUGGAAUUCCUGGUGUAGCGGUGAAAUGCGCAGAUAUCAGGAGGAACACCAAUGGCGAAGGCAGCUCGCUGGGACGGUACUGACGCUGAGACGCGAAAGCAUGGGGAGCAAACAGG
Molecule: ribosomal RNA, 253 nt
Filed under: uncultured bacterium
Lineage: Bacteria
Description: partial 16S ribosomal RNA
Rfam family: Bacterial small subunit ribosomal RNA
Source: RNAcentral